CAGCCGCCGCGGUAAUACGUAGGGUGCGAGCGUUAAUCGGAAUUACUGGGCGUAAAGCGUGCGCAGGCGGUUGUGUAAGACAGGUGUGAAAUCCCCGGGCUUAACCUGGGAACUGCGCUUGUGACUGCACAGCUAGAGUAUGGCAGAGGGGGGUGGAAUUCCACGUGUAGCAGUGAAAUGCGUAGAGACGUGGAGAAAUACCGAUGGCGAAGGCAGCCCCCUGGGCCAAUACUGACGCUCAUGCACGAAAGCGUGGGGAGCAAACAGGAUUAGAUACCCCCGUAGUCCCUGUCUCUUAUAA
This 301-nucleotide ribosomal RNA is filed under the name uncultured bacterium. RNAcentral describes it as "partial 16S ribosomal RNA". It matches the Rfam family "Bacterial small subunit ribosomal RNA", at positions 509 to 809 of the family's 1533-position model. The record is from RNAcentral.